CUGUGGUAUCCCUGUAUUUAGCAAUGUUAUGGUGUCAUGUAGCCAUGUAUGCACUCUAGUACAGCAGCAUCACACCAGAUCUGACAAGACUCUCUUUACUGCAAUGCAGCAACACCUCCUCUCCAGCCUAUCAGUGUGUGGAGUGUCCAAAUGAUAUAACUAACUAGAAGCUGGGCCUCCCUCCAUGAAACCUGCCAACACUUUCUGGUGCCCUCUCAGAAAACCCCCUUCCCUCCCUGGGCAGAAAAAGAACAAAAUGAGGAUGGAAUUUUCCCAGACAAUGGAACAGCGGAACGUCAGCUAAGUGCGUCCAUGGAUGUGUUUAACCAGGCUGCUGCUGGCCGUGUCGGCUCCAAGGAGGAGGAUAUUUGUGUACUGCUUGUUGCUGGUCAGAUGCCUACUCUGUGAGAGCCGAGGACAUGAAACCUUUGUCACGAGACAAGCUAAUUUUGGGAGAUCGGCUUCUGACCAAUGUGUGAGCCUGCCUAACUGCUAGCUGAGGCGGAGGUAGGUGAAAAACUCAAUUUGCAGCCUCUCCAAUUUGCCUCCGAUGGAAAGAAAAAUCCUUCCGACUCCAAGAUGGCAGUCGGACCGGUCCCUGGAUCAACUUUAUUUUCAAUAACCCUGUAUUCCCUCACUUGCUAAAAAGCCAUCCAACCCAUUUUUGAAGCUAUCUAAUGUAUGGUAUAUAUAGUAUCAAGGUGUAACAAAAAUACUGUGAGUCCCUGCAUUCGCUAUGAUUGAGUAAUUGUUGGAUGUUGUCGGUACUUGCUUCUGCUGGUAGUUGUAACCAUAUCAACAUUUGUCCUGUCCAUUCUUUUUUUAUAGAACAGCUGUACAAAAUGUCAAAAUAAAAUGUUCUUUGCAAGGCCA
Long non-coding RNA from Xenopus tropicalis (tropical clawed frog), 873 nucleotides. RefSeq lists it as uncharacterized. Lineage: Eukaryota; Metazoa; Chordata; Amphibia; Anura; Pipidae. The transcript is spliced from 3 exons. The record is from RefSeq and is a predicted model, not a curated record.